Molecule: ribosomal RNA, 452 nt
Filed under: uncultured bacterium
Lineage: Bacteria
Description: bacterial SSU rRNA
Rfam family: Bacterial small subunit ribosomal RNA
Source: RNAcentral
AAGAGUUUGAUCAUGGCUCAGAACGAACGCUGGCGGCAUGCCUAACACAUGCAAGUCGAACGAACCUUCGGGGUUAGUGGCGCACGGGUGCGUAACACGUGGGAAUCUGCCCUUUGCUUCGGAAUAACAGUUAGAAAUGACUGCUAAUACCGGAUGAUGUCGUAAGACCAAAGAUUUAUCGGCAAAGGAUGAGCCCGCGUAGGAUUAGGUAGUUGGUGGGGUAAAGGCCUACCAAGCCGACGAUCCUUAGCUGGUCUGAGAGGAUGAUCAGCCACACUGGGACUGAGACACGGCCCAGACUCCUACGGGAGGCAGCAGUGGGGAAUAUUGGACAAUGGGCGAAAGCCUGAUCCAGCAAUGCCGCGUGAGUGAUGAAGGCCUUCGGGUUGUAAAGCUCUUUACCAGGGAUGAUAAUGACAGUACCUGGAGAAUAAGCUCCGGCUAACUCCGUG